CUUAUGAGCAUAUAACCAUAUUUAUAAAUUUGUGAUCAAGUAGGUUGUGAAUGUAUGUUAUAUGCUUAUAUGUAUACAUAUCUAUGAAUAUAUUUGGUAUUCGCAAAACACUUCACACUUAAAACCUUGUUACCCAUAACAUCUCAUUUAAUCCUUAUACCAAGUUUAUGAGAUGAACAGUAUCGACAGCCAGCAGGUGAGGACUGUAAAUCUCAGAAGUUGGUAGACUGGCUGUUAUCAAUCGAGCUAAACAGUGACAGUGACAGAACUUACACCCCGGACUUGUAAUAACAACCCCAGGGCACUUUGGGACUAUGUCACAAUGGCCCCCAUUCUAGUGAGACAGUGAUGUCACUGAAGUAAUUUCUGCAACAGAUGGGGGAAGAGGCCAGGCCACCGAGGGUCACAGGAGGUUUUUGAGCAGAUCAGAAGCCUGAUCAAAGGCUUGCUGUGGGAAGAUUGAUCUGGUGCCUGGACCCAGGCAGGAAAGCCCUGCUGGGAACCAUCCUGCCCCUCUGGACUCCUGUGGCUCUUUGUUUAUGCUCCUGGAGCAGUGUUGGUCUGCUGUUGCAGGCUGCUUGUUUAUUUAUUUACUCCUAUCCUACAACUUACUCCCUACUGCAGAGUCAUCAGGAUUUAAGAAGACUGUGAUUGGCUAUUUCAGAACCAUGUUCAGACAGCCGUAUCUUAAGCAUGUCCACUCGCUGGUAGGGCCGGAGCAUAGACAGUGUCAAUUCUGAAUCUUCAGGCCGACUGCGUGUUUGAGCUACACAGCAGGCAGGCAGAAGGACCCUACAUCCAGCCUCCACUGCCAAUUAGUUCAGAAUAUCCUAGCGCAUAAGGCAAAAUACCAGGGACUGGGGUGAGUGGACCUUAAUCUGUUAUGUACCAGGUGUGUGCAGGUGCACAGAGAGACCAGAAGAGGGCGCCAGGUCUUCUAGACCCUGAGAUACUGGCAAACAGUUGUGAACUGCUGACCUGCGAGCUGGGAACCCAAGUCAGGUCUCCCAAAGGAUCAUUAAGUGUUCUUUACUGCUCAGCCAUCUCUCCAGCAUGAAAUAUAUUUUUAAAAGGAUUCUGAUUAAUGAUAAUAUAUCUAUCCCUUAACUUUAAAAAGAAAAAGCAAUUAUUCUUAAUAAGCCAGGGCACACAUGCAUCAGAAAUUCCCUAAAGAUCUUGGAAUAGAAUAAUCUAAAAUAUAUUUAAACACCAGUAGGAUCAAUUUUCAGACUUGGGUGUCAUUCAAAUUGACUUUAUGUUAGCAUAUUUUUCUGUGUGAGAAAAAUUGUGUCAGAAAUAAAAAAAAAACCAUUUCUGUGUAAAUAUCCCAAAGGAAUAACCAUGUUAAUAAUUCUUAUAAAAUUGUGGUUAUAUGACAGACAAUUACUUUACACCAUUCAGGCUUUUUUAUCCCCACUGAGUAUUGUUUAAUACUUCGGUCCCAGGAAACUGCAACAGCCACAAAGGGCUAAUAAAACGACCGGUAUCAAAAUA
Long non-coding RNA from Rattus norvegicus (Norway rat), 1494 nucleotides. RefSeq lists it as uncharacterized. The record is from RefSeq and is a predicted model, not a curated record. NCBI's taxonomy places the organism in Eukaryota, Metazoa, Chordata, Mammalia, Rodentia, Muridae.